This 213-nucleotide long non-coding RNA is filed under the name Panax ginseng (ginseng). RNAcentral describes it as "long non-coding RNA (PGIN_LNC008591)". The record is from RNAcentral. Lineage: Eukaryota; Viridiplantae; Streptophyta; Magnoliopsida; Apiales; Araliaceae.
CCACCAAUGUGCAAUAAAGAUAAAUUUGCUAACUGGAAAUUUCGGAUGCAAGCAUACAUGGACUCAAUGGAUGAAGAUCUAUUUGAGACCGUUCAAAAUGGGCCCUAUAUUCCAACAAAUCUUGCACCAACUAUAGAUGAUCCAAACAGAAUACAAAUCAAAGUCAAAGAAGAAUGGAUUGACAACGAGAAGAGAGCUGUCCAACUCGACAAG